UACGUAGGGUGCAAGCGUUGUCCGGAAUUAUUGGGCGUAAAGAGCUCGUAGGCGGCAUGUUAGGUGAGGUGUGAAAUCCCACGGCUCAACCGUGGAAUUGCGCUUCAUACCGGCGUGCUAGAGGAAGAUAGAGGUGGGCGGAACUGAUGGUGGAGCGGUGAAAUGCGUUGAUAUCAUCAGGAGCACCGGAGGCGAAGGCGGCCCACUGGGUCUUUUCUGACGCUGAGGGACGAAAGCUAGGGGAGCGAACGGG
This 253-nucleotide ribosomal RNA is filed under the name uncultured bacterium. Its description in RNAcentral is "partial 16S ribosomal RNA". It matches the Rfam family "Bacterial small subunit ribosomal RNA", at positions 524 to 776 of the family's 1533-position model. The record is from RNAcentral.